UCUAAAAUUUUCUAACAAGUUAACGAUAUUAUUAAAUUUUCAAAAAUUUCAUUCAUAUAUGGGAUACCCAAAUAUUCUUUUGCAGAUAACUAUUCUAAUAAUUCAUUAAUUUCUUUAGCAACAAUAUCAUAUGUGGUCCAAUACUUAAUUAGAAUUUAGAUUUUUUUUAUUUAAAUUAAAUUUAAUGAUCUAAGUAAUAAUUGAUAACUCAAAAUCUUUAAUUGACAUACUUUUUAUGAUUG
RNAcentral lists this unclassified non-coding RNA (242 nucleotides) under Hevea brasiliensis (rubber tree). Lineage: Eukaryota; Viridiplantae; Streptophyta; Magnoliopsida; Malpighiales; Euphorbiaceae. The record is from RNAcentral.